Molecule: ribosomal RNA, 507 nt
Filed under: uncultured soil bacterium
Lineage: Bacteria
Description: bacterial SSU rRNA
Rfam family: Bacterial small subunit ribosomal RNA
Source: RNAcentral
AGAGUUUGAUCCUGGCUCAGAAUCAACGCUGGCGGCGUGCCUCAGACAUGCAAGUCGAACGCGAAAGUCCCCUUCGGGGGACCAGUAGAGUGGCGCACGGGUGAGUAACACGUAGGUAAUCUACCUUCGGGUGGGGAAUAACAACCGGAAACGGUUGCUAAUACCGCAUAAUACAGCGGCACCUAAUGGUGACAGUUGUUAAAGCGGGGGAUCGCAAGACCUCGCGCCUGAAGAGGAGCCUGCGGCGGAUUAGCUAGUUGGCAGGGUAACGGCCUACCAAGGCGACGAUCCGUAGCCGGCCUGAGAGGGCGGUCGGCCACACUGACACUGACAUACGGGUCAGACUCCUACGGGAGGCAGCAGUCGGGAAUUUUGGGCAAUGGGCGAAAGCCUGACCCAGCAACGCCGCGUGAAGGAUGAAAUCCUUCGGGAUGUAAACUUCGCAAGAACGGGGAGAAUAAGCCGGUGUUAACACCACCGGCGAUGACGGUACCGUUGAGUCCCGCC